This 418-nucleotide unclassified non-coding RNA is filed under the name soil metagenome. RNAcentral's name for it is "partial contains 5.8S ribosomal RNA, internal transcribed spacer 2, and large subunit ribosomal RNA". The stretch from base 1 to 120 matches the Rfam family "5.8S ribosomal RNA", at positions 35 to 154 of the family's 154-position model. The record is from RNAcentral.
GAUGAAGAACGUAGUGAAAUGCGAUAAGUAAUGUGAAUUGCAGAAUUCAGUGAAUCAUCGAAUCUUUGAACGCAUCUUGCGCUCCUUGGUAUUCCUUGGAGCAUGCCUGUUUGAGUAUCAUGAGCAAAUCUCAAAGUCAAUUCCUUUUAUUGAUUCAAUUGGUUUUGCUUUGGACUUGGAGGCCUUGCAGAUUUCACAGUCUGCUCCUCUUAAAUGCAUUAGCUGGAUCUCAGUAAUUAUGCUUGGUUCCACUCGGCGUGAUAAGUAUCACUCGCUGAGGACACUGUUAAAAAGGUGGCCAGGAAAAUACUGAUUGAACCGCUUCUAACGGUCUAUUAAGUUAGACAAUUACCCUUAAGUUUGAUCUCAAAUCAGGUAGGACUACCCGCUGAACUUAAGCAUAUCAAUAAGCGGAGGA